Molecule: ribosomal RNA, 712 nt
Filed under: Pseudoalteromonas sp. J210
Lineage: Bacteria; Pseudomonadati; Pseudomonadota; Gammaproteobacteria; Alteromonadales; Pseudoalteromonadaceae
Description: bacterial SSU rRNA
Rfam family: Bacterial small subunit ribosomal RNA
Source: RNAcentral
UCGCAGCGGUAACAGCAGAGUAGCUUGCUACUCUGCUGACGAGCGGCGGACGGGUGAGUAAUGCUUGGGAAUGUACCUUAUGGUGGGGGACCACCAUUUGAAACACAGAUGUGUAUAACCCCAUAAUAGAUGUUCUUCCCACCAAAGCGGAGCGACCUUCCUGCCUCCAUACCAUAAGAUCAGGCCCAAGUUAGCAUUAUCUAGUUGGUGAGGUAAUGGCUCACCAAGGCGACGAUCCCUAGCUGGUUUGAGAGGAUGAUCAGCCACACUGGGACUGAGACACGGCCCAGACUCCUACGGGAGGCAGCAGUGGGGAAUAUUGCACAAUGGGCGCAAGCCUGAUGCAGCCAUGCCGCGUGUGUGAAGAAGGCCUUCGGGUUGUAAAGCACUUUCAGUAAGGAGGAAAGGUUGGAUGUUAAUAGCAUUCAGCUGUGACGUUACUUACAGAAGAAGCACCGGCUAACUCCGUGCCAGCAGCCGCGGUAAUACGGAGGGUGCGAGCGUUAAUCGGAAUUACUGGGCGUAAAGCGUACGCAGGCGGUUUGUUAAGCGAGAUGUGAAAGCCCCGGGCUCAACCUGGGAACUGCAUUUCGAACUGGCAAACUAGAGUGUGAUAGAGGGUGGUAGAAUUUCAGGUGUAGCGGUGAAAUGCCUAGAGCUCUGAAGGAAUACCGAUGGCGAAGUGCAGCCACCUGGGUCAUCACUGACGCCU